GACGAACGCUGGCGGCGUGCUUAACACAUGCAAGUCGAACGGAAAGGCCCUGCUUUUGUGGGGUGCUCGAGUGGCGAACGGGUGAGUAACACGUGAGUAACCUGCCCUUGACUUUGGGAUAACUUCAGGAAACUGGGGCUAAUACCGGAUAGGAGCUCCUGCUGCAUGGUGGGGGUUGGAAAGUUUCGGCGGUUGGGGAUGGACUCGCGGCUUAUCAGCUUGUCGGUGGGGUAGUGGCUUACCAAGGCUUUGACGGGUAGCCGGCCUGAGAGGGUGACCGGACACAUUGGGACUGUGAUACGGCCCAGACUCCUACGGGACGCAGCAGUGGGGAAUAUUGCACAAUGGGCGGAAGCCUGAUGCAGCAACGCCGCGUGCGGGAUGACGGCCUUCGGGUUGUAACCCGCUUUCGCCUGUGACGAAGCGUGAGUGACGGUAAUGGGUAAAGAAGCACCGGCUAACUACGUG
Molecule: ribosomal RNA, 468 nt
Filed under: uncultured bacterium
Lineage: Bacteria
Description: partial 16S ribosomal RNA
Rfam family: Bacterial small subunit ribosomal RNA
Source: RNAcentral